UAUGGCGGAAUUGGUAGACGCUACGGACUUAAAAUCCGUUGGCUUUAUAGUAGACCGUGAGGGUUCGAGUCCCUCUACCCCCA
RNAcentral lists this transfer RNA (83 nucleotides) under Sphagnum pylaesii. RNAcentral describes it as "tRNA-Leu". It matches the Rfam family "tRNA". Rfam says of the family: Transfer RNA (tRNA) molecules are approximately 80 nucleotides in length. Their secondary structure includes four short double-helical elements and three loops (D, anti-codon, and T loops). Further hydrogen bonds mediate the characteristic L-shaped molecular structure. tRNAs have two regions of fundamental functional importance: the anti-codon, which is responsible for specific mRNA codon recognition, and the 3' end, to which the tRNAs corresponding amino acid is attached (by aminoacyl-tRNA synthetases). tRNAs cope with the degeneracy of the genetic code in two manners: having more than one tRNA (with a specific anti-codon) for a particular amino acid; and 'wobble' base-pairing, i.e. permitting non-standard base-pairing at the 3rd anti-codon position. The record is from RNAcentral. Lineage: Eukaryota; Viridiplantae; Streptophyta; Sphagnopsida; Sphagnales; Sphagnaceae.